CGUAGGCGGUUUAGCAAGUUGGGAGUGAAAUCACAGAGCUCAACUCUGUAACUGCUCUCAAAACUACUAAUCUAGAGUGCGGUAGAGGAUGAUGGAAUUCUCAGUGGAGAGGUGAAAUUCUUAGAUAUUGAGAGGAACGCCAAAGGCGAAAGCAGUCAUCUGGGCCGUUUCUGACGCUGAGGCGCGAAAGCGUGGGGAGCAAACA
This 205-nucleotide ribosomal RNA is filed under the name uncultured bacterium. Its description in RNAcentral is "partial 16S ribosomal RNA". It matches the Rfam family "Bacterial small subunit ribosomal RNA", at positions 570 to 774 of the family's 1533-position model. The record is from RNAcentral.